CUUGAACCCAGGACUGGCAAGAUCGUGACCUAGGCUGAAGUCGAAUACUUAACCAACCAAAUUACCAGGCGUCCCCAGACAUCUAGCUUCUUCUUCAUAAAUUAAUGAACAUGGAUCCACAUUUCUAAAAGUCAAAAAGUUUGGAGACCCCAAGAUGAGACUAAUAUCUUUGGUUCUGGUGUGGUCACACGCAAAAGGCUGCAACAGGUUUGAAAUGAAAUACUAAGGACCGGGCAGCAAAUUUGCCUCCAUCAACAUGGAUUAAGAAUUCAAAAGAAAAUCGGUCAUCACCAACAACCAGACUUUACAGAACCUUCAGCAAAUAAAUAACUCGUUCCUGCAGAAAUGCACCCGCCAUGCAGACACCAGGACCGCGUAAAAUCCAUCCAAGCAGUGUCUCUUUGUGUCCUGGGAUUUACACACCUCCCCACCCCUCGAGGCCCGCACAUCUCGAGGAAGAGGAGAGCUAGGCUACCAUCUCUCCUGGUACCGCCAGGGCGACCUCAAAGGCAAUAGCGCUGGCCCUUCUCCCGGGUUCUGGCUGGGCCCCGGCGGACCCAUUUUCCACAGGCGUGGGGAAGGAAGUCGAAUCCCUAGGAAGAUCGAAGCCUGCAUGCGGAGGCUGCUUUCCGCAGUUACACGGAUCCGCCCUCAUCUCACUCCUUAGUAAUGAUGAAGCCUCGGCUCUGUACAGGGAUGGCCACAAACACUUCCAGCCCCUUCUCUUAGCUUCAGACUCUCUUGCAAACCUCGCCUUCCUCCCCAGGCCCAGGUCUCCUUCCAAUGGCCCACUGUCGGGGCUCCCCGCCGCCCCCCGAAACCAAUCCAGGACCCAGACCGUCCCAUUCCCUCCUCGGCUUUACGCGUAGUGCCCCGCCCUGGGCCUGAGGACGGGAGGGGGGUGACCGGCCAGCUCCGGAGGGGCCCGGGCCCCCAC
Hyaena hyaena (striped hyena) is the source of this 937-nucleotide long non-coding RNA. RefSeq lists it as uncharacterized. Lineage: Eukaryota; Metazoa; Chordata; Mammalia; Carnivora; Hyaenidae. The transcript is spliced from 3 exons. The record is from RefSeq and is a predicted model, not a curated record.